GGCAGUGUAAAGACUCUCGUUCUUUGUUGUUCGUUCAUCUCAACAAAAAUAUAGUUUGUGAUACUGUUCUGUGUGCAAGAAAAUUCAAUUGUACGAAGAUCCACCUGGUCAAAUGGCCAUUACAGACUCUUUGAAUUCUGACCGUGAAAAUGUAUAUUGGUGUGACGGUUGGAGUCAGAUUGAAAUCAAUCGAUAAUCCUUGCAGUUGCUCGUCACAAAUCCAGAAUUGAUAGAAGCUUGUUAGAAUUAUAUACCGGAAUGAAUAUAACGAAUAAUAUUGUAAAAGAAUAUUAGGUUUUUGAGGCGAAUUCUUUGUUAUGCCCAAACAGCUUUUUUACCCAAAUUAAUUCGCUGCAUUACUCCAAAGCAAAUUACCGAAGUGAAGAAAUACUUUGUCGUGUUAGUCAUAACAAUUGUCGUUCGCUUGUAUUUUAGUGCGUCAUUGCAACGGACUAAUUACACAUAUACACGUUAUUUAAGUUUAUAUCUUAA
This is a long non-coding RNA of Xenia sp. Carnegie-2017, 492 nucleotides long. RefSeq lists it as uncharacterized. The record is from RefSeq and is a predicted model, not a curated record. The transcript has 2 exons. NCBI's taxonomy places the organism in Eukaryota, Metazoa, Cnidaria, Anthozoa, Malacalcyonacea, Xeniidae.